Ipomoea nil (Japanese morning glory) is the source of this 3003-nucleotide RNA transcript. RefSeq lists it as uncharacterized. The record is from RefSeq and is a predicted model, not a curated record. The transcript has 7 exons. Lineage: Eukaryota; Viridiplantae; Streptophyta; Magnoliopsida; Solanales; Convolvulaceae.
CGGCUCUCGGCCUCUGGCCUCCGCCCUCGGCUCCUCCAACUCAAAGUCUCGGCGUCAGUUUUCCUGCUCACUUCAUGUUCGGACAAUCGAUUUAUUUCCCUUAGCAGGAUAACAUCAGUUUCACAUCUAUGGGAGAAUCCAAAUAUGCUUAUUUGCUCAGUGAUGAUGGACUUUAUCGUGUUAAUAUCCCUGACUUUGAUCUAGCCCAACAACCCCAGUUCAUGCUCGAGUGUGUAGGUAAGGAAUUUGGUGGUAUCAUAACCUCAACUAUGGGAAUAUGCAGCCAAGGGCAGGAUGUAUAUUUGUUUGGGGGCUUGUUGUAUAAGUCUGUGAAUGGGUCACUUUAUAACAGGAGCAUGUAUUUUUUCAAUCCUCGGAAGGUCAAGGCUAAGGAAUAUCCCAUUAGGGAUACUAAGUUACUUUACAAAUCAAGUGUUAAAUACGAACCCAUGGUUCUUCCUUUUUUGUUACAAGCUAAGCAUAAGACUUACGUAUUCUCAGUUGUUCGUCCUAGUUACGGCGGUCCAAUGAAAUCACCUUGCUGUUUUCAGUCCUUCGAUCUAUACAAAAAAAGCUUUUGCACCCUUCCAACUCCCUCCCUAGAUGAUUCAUAUCUGUUUUAUGAUGUUUGUGGGUAUUUUCUUGUUUAUGAUCAUAUAUACUUGAUUAUCAGUGGAGGGGCCAAGGACAGGAACGAGCAUCGUGCCUUCUCUUUCAACACUAGAUCAUCAAAAUGGAAGGAAAUAGGGUCCAUGAUGAGCAAAUUUGAAAAACACAAUAUUCCCAUUCCCUAUUGUCAUAGUGGUGAUAUAGGACUCUCUCGUAAGUUUGACGAUAAUACUCAGAUUCUGGUUGCCCUUAAUUAUGGUACACCUACUGCUUAUCGGGUUAGGCUUGGUGCAGCAGGGAGUUCUCUCCGGCCUAAAUCCUAUAGGGGUUUACUUGAACAUAAGUAUGGGGUUAAUAACAUCUCACACCUACUUGAUAUUGGAAGUCAAAGGUUUUGUGUGAUUUUUUCUGGGUAUGACCAACAUAUUUUGGUUUAUGCCUUCAAGAUGGAUUUUGCAGUUGAAUAUGAAAACCAGAGAAAGUCAACCUCACAUGCAAUGCCCUCCAUAGAGAUUCUCUGUUCCAAGAAAUUUUUUCCCUCCGUAGUAAAUUGUGUUUGUUUGGCCUAUGGUCCUGCAUCUCAACGUUGUGUUCCCUGGGAUAAAGUCAGGCCCAUAAAUAAUAAUAAUUCUAAUAAUAGGGAGCCAGAAAGGAAGUCAGGUGUUGUGUUUCUCGAGGAACAUUACAUAUAGUCAGACCAAAACCCAACCCAAAUAUCUAACCAUAAACCCAACCCAUUAUAUUAUGUAUAUAUAAACUCUCCUGUCGAUAAUCUCUCCGUUUACUUCCUUCUCCGGCUUUCCGCGCUACUCCGCUCUCGACCUCCGGCCUCGGCUCCUCCGGUUCUCCGCAUUCGGCAUCUCCAACUCAAAGUCUCGGCGUCAGUUUUCCUGCUCACUUCAUGGUCGGACAAUCGAUUUAUUUCCCUUAGCAGGGGAUUGCACAACUUAUCCUAAAUCCCCCCCUUCUUAAGGUAAACUGUUCGAGGAAAGUAGAACGCCUAGCCACCAUUUCCAACCGGAUAACAUCAAUUUCACAUCUAUGGGAGAAUCUAGAUAUGCUUAUUUGCUCACUGAUGAUGGACUUUAUUGUGUUAAUAUCCCUGACUUUGAUCUAGCCCAACAACCCCAGUUCCUCGAGUAUGUAGCUAAGGAAUUUGGUGGUAUCUUAAUCGCAACUAUGGGAAUCUGUAGCCAAGGGCAGGAUGUAUAUUUGUUUGGGGGCUUGUUGUAUAAUUCCGUGAAUGGGUCAUGUUAUAACAGGAGCAUGUAUUUUUUCAAUCCUCGCAAGGUCAAGGAGAAGGAAUAUCCCAUUAAGGAUACUAAGUUACUUUACAAAUCAAGUGUUAAAUACGAACCCCUGGUUACUCCUUUUUUGUUACAAGCUGAGCAUAAGACUUACUUAUUCUCAAUUGUUCGUCGUAGUUACGGUGGUCCAAUGAAAUCACCCUGCUGUUUUCUGUCCUUCGAUGUACUCAAAAAAAGCUUUUGCACCCUUCCAAUUCCCUCCCUAGAUUAUUCGGAUCUGUGCUAUGAUGUGAGUGUGUAUUUUCUUGUUUAUGAUCAUAUAUACUUGAUUAUCAGUGGAGGGGCCAAGGACAGGGACAAGCAUCAUGCCUUCUCUUUCAACACUAGAUCAUCAAAAUGGAAGGAAAUAGGGUCCAUGAUGAGCAAAUUUGAAAAACACAAUAUUCCCAUUCCCUAUCGUCGUAGUGGCGAUAUAGGACUCUCUCGUAAGUUUGACGAUAAUACUCAGAUUCUGGUCGCCCUUAAUUGUGGUACACCUACUGCUUAUCGGGUUAGGCUUGGUGAAGCAGGGAGUUCUCUCUGGCCUAAAUCCUAUAGGGGUUUACUUGAACAUAAGUAUGGGGUUAAUAACAUCUCACACCUACUUGAUAUUGGAAGUCAAAGGUUUUGUGUGAUUUUUUCUGGGUAUGACUAACAUAUUUUGGUUUAUGCCUUCAAGAUGGAUUUUGCAGUUGAAUAUGAAAACCAGAGAAAGUCAACCUCACAUGCAAUGCCCUCCAUAGAGAUUCUCUGUUCCAAGAAAUUUUUUCCCUCAGUAGUAUAUUGUGUUUGUUUGGCCUAUGCUCCUGCAUCUCAACGUUGUGUUUCUUGGGAUAAAGUCAGGCCCAUAAAUAAUAAUAAUUCUAAUAAUAGGGAGCCAGAAAGGAAGUCAGGUGUUGUGUUUCUCGAGGUGUAGAGGCUUUGUAAGGAGAUGAUGAUUUAUCUUUUUUGCCAUAUUUUGUUUUCCAAGACCAAGCUAGUAGUAUAAAAAUUUUCUGACAAAUCAAACUAGCAAAUAAUGAUGUCUUUGGGAACAUCCAUCUACAAUUGGUAGUAUGUUUGGAAUUGUACUAACACUUUCGGGUCUUGCCUUUUAUUCUCUUUCUGC